This 283-nucleotide long non-coding RNA is filed under the name Brassica napus (rape). Its description in RNAcentral is "long non-coding RNA (BNAP_LNC020385)". The record is from RNAcentral. Lineage: Eukaryota; Viridiplantae; Streptophyta; Magnoliopsida; Brassicales; Brassicaceae.
ACAUUCACAAUCAUUAGGAAAACUGUUUUAAAUCUAAACAUGCCGCUUUCUUCUUCAGGUGCCAUUGGAGCUGAAUGGUUGAAAACAUUCAAGGGGAUAUAUCAUCGAGCACCCUGAAUCUAUGUUGCGCUAAUCAGACAAAGAAUCAUACACUGACAAAACACACAUUAAAGCUCAUAAAGAGUCUCUGAAUCUGUCAUUUCUCACUUUGGAUUUUUUACUUUAAAUCUCUGUAUUUUUUUGGGAGAGUUAAAACAGAUUUUAUUUCGUUAAUUUAAACUCC